RNAcentral lists this ribosomal RNA (256 nucleotides) under uncultured bacterium. Its description in RNAcentral is "partial 16S ribosomal RNA". It matches the Rfam family "Bacterial small subunit ribosomal RNA", at positions 1243 to 1500 of the family's 1533-position model. The record is from RNAcentral.
AGAGAAGCAAUACCGCGAGGUGGAGCAAAACUUCAAAAUGGUCUCAGUUCGGACUGUAGGCUGCAACUCGCCUACACGAAGUUGGAAUUGCUAGUAAUCGUGGAUCAGCAUGCCACGGUGAAUACGUUCCCGGGUCUUGUACACACCGCCCGUCACACCAUGGGAGCUGGUAACACCCGAAGUCAGUAGUCUAACCGCAAGGAGGACGCUGCCGAAGGUGGGAUUAGCGACUGGGGUGAAGUCGUAACAAGGUACC